GCCCGCCUAGCUCAAUCGGAUAGAGCGUCAGACUCUUAAGGCGGGUUAAUAUCAACUUUGCUGAUAUCUGAAGGCUGCGAGUUCGACCCUCGCGGUGGGCU
Molecule: non-coding RNA, 101 nt
Organism: Gymnopilus junonius
Lineage: Eukaryota; Fungi; Basidiomycota; Agaricomycetes; Agaricales; Galerinaceae
Source: the annotation of a GenBank genome assembly